AACACCUGGAGAUCUUGUUAAAAUGCAGAUUCAGAUUCAGUAGGUUUGGGGUGGGGCCUGAGAUUCUACAUUUCUAGCAACUCUCAGGUGAUGCUGA
Molecule: microRNA precursor, 97 nt
Filed under: Loxodonta africana (African savanna elephant)
Lineage: Eukaryota; Metazoa; Chordata; Mammalia; Proboscidea; Elephantidae
Description: mir-544 microRNA precursor family
Rfam family: mir-544 microRNA precursor family
Source: Rfam by way of RNAcentral